AAUGGCCGCAGUAUUUUGACUGUGCAAAGGUAGCAUAAUCAUUAGUUUCUUAAUUAGGAGCUAGAAUGAAUGGUUUGAUGAGAAAUUAACUGUCUCUUACUAAUUUUAUUAUAAUUUGAAUUUUAAGUGAGAAUGCUUAAAUUUUUUAGAAAGACGAGAAGACCCUAUAGAGUUUGAUUAUUAUUUUAAUUGAAAUUUAUUUAGGGUUGGUAUUUGUUUGGUUGAGCUGAUAAUUUUGUUGGGGUGACAAAAAAAUUUAUUUAACUUUUUAAUUUUUUUACACUAAUUAGUGAUUAGUUGAUCCUGUAGGUAUGGAUUAUAAGAUUGAAUUACCUUAGGGAUAACAGCGUAAUUUUUUUUGAAAGUUCAUAUUUAUAAAAAAGUUUGCGACCUCGAUGUUGGAUUAAAAUUAAUUUUCGGUGUAGCUGCUGAAAUGAUUA
RNAcentral lists this ribosomal RNA (440 nucleotides) under Tribolium madens (black flour beetle). RNAcentral's name for it is "partial 16S ribosomal RNA". It matches the Rfam family "Bacterial large subunit ribosomal RNA", at positions 1926 to 2573 of the family's 2925-position model. The record is from RNAcentral. Lineage: Eukaryota; Metazoa; Arthropoda; Insecta; Coleoptera; Tenebrionidae.